This is a long non-coding RNA of Rhineura floridana, 761 nucleotides long. RefSeq lists it as uncharacterized. The record is from RefSeq and is a predicted model, not a curated record. NCBI's taxonomy places the organism in Eukaryota, Metazoa, Chordata, Lepidosauria, Squamata, Rhineuridae. The transcript is spliced from 4 exons.
CAAAACUCUCUCGCCUGCUCUCAGCUCCAGGGGCUGAAUAACAGCUUGCACCCACUGACAAGGGAGCCGGCAGAGGCAAGCGUGCAGCGGCCUGCCUGGGAGGCUGGCCACGGGCAGCACUGAGACUGAGGAGGAGGAAGAGGGUAGGCAGUGCCACCUCCUGGACCGGAGAAGACAGGCAGGCCUUAAGUUGGCCUCCCACAAGAUUUCAACAGUCCUCAAGCCACCACCUAUAAACGGGGGGCCUCUCCUCUCCCAGCGCAUUGCGCUCCCUCUCGGCUUCAAGCAUCUCUCGGAUUCCGACCAACAUCCAGCCAUGAAGAUCUUCUUCCUUCUCUCCAUCACCUUCCUCGUUCUGCUGCUGGUGGCACCAGAUUUCACCCAAGCCAAAAAAGGCGGUGCUACCAAAAAAUGUGCUGAGAACGGAGGGAGAUGUCUGCGUCGCUGUGGUGACGGACAAAAGGAGAUCAGUAAGUGCUCAGGGAAGAGGCGUUGUUGCAAGUAAGACCAGCCAUGCAUCAACUCUGAGGAAAGAGCACCUUUUCCUCUGAAGCGCACCUCCCUGGACCAUGCUGUGCAUUUCUGCUUGGGAAGAAACCAUCCUGCUUGCUGCUGAAGACAAGUCUGGAAAGGAUUGAUUAGAGCGCAACUUCUUAUGCCUCUUUACUUGGGACUAAGUCUUCCUGCGUUCAGCCUGAAUUUGGCCUGCCUGCUAAAAUGCUCUCGCUUUUCUUUUUAAUAAAUGCAAGCGUUUGAAACCA